UAUAAAUAAGCCGACCGGAGAGAUCUUAGCUCUCUUCUCUUCCGGCGAGGUUUGAGAACAGUAGAUCUGUAUGUGGUCUUGCUUAUCUGAAGUUGAGGCCUGUAGUGACUGCUGUUGUCUGCCACACGUGAGGGGAGAGUGCUGGGCCACAUCCAGCCGUCCUACUUCUCUCAAGGGAAGUGAUAUGCCAGGCUGGGUAUAUGCCCAUGUGUGAGAGGCUACCAGCGCCCAUGUAUCCAUGAGGGACUGAGGCAAGGUUUUAUGAUAUCCUGACUCUUAUUGCUCAAUGUCAAAAAGUCAAGGCAGCAGAAAUGGCUCUGAGUUGCCAGGAGUCAUUUUCCCCUCAGGCCAAGGAAGGGAAUAGGUCUAUCAUGUGUUGUCUAAUGGCUGUGCAGGUCUGUUCAUUACACCAGGAAGAUCAGUACUGCAGUGCUGCCCUCGGUUCUGGAGUUCCAUAUCUGGAAAAGAUGGGAUGGAUCACGAAGUGACUACAGUCCUAGAAGAGAGCUUGGCUGAAGUCAACUGUAUUACAACAGGUCUGGAUUUCACUCACGGGGAACAUAGCUUUUCCUUUACACUGAACAAUCAAAUUUGCCAAGCUUGUCUCUGGCAGCCAGACUUGACCAAGUGCAGUUGCUGUAGUACAGAAAGAAACACUCUAAACUAAGCAUUUAUGGCUGUGCAGAGAUCCAGAGACUGUCACAAGGAGAUGAGGAGGAGCCCCCUUUCACCAUUUUGUUCGUCUCCCUCCCCUCAGCCAGCAAGUGGCUAAUUCUGUCCCCAGAGUUGUCCACAAUUCUCCACUGUAAACAUCAAGAAUGAUAGACCAUCCCUAUCUCUUUGUGCUGACUAUAUGAAAUUUUAUGGACCAUCAAUGCUCUUAAGAGCACUCUGGAAAUGGAAUAGUAUCAUCAUUCAACUCCUUGCAGGACUAGUAGUGAGAACAGUUUUGAGCAAAACUGGAUGAAGCAGUAGUUUUAGUCUUAGUUUAGGUUUCUGGGGGCUAUGCAGCAGUCUUGCAGACAUU
Molecule: long non-coding RNA, 1027 nt
Organism: Lepidothrix coronata (blue-crowned manakin)
Lineage: Eukaryota; Metazoa; Chordata; Aves; Passeriformes; Pipridae
Exons: 5
Source: RefSeq, a predicted model, not a curated record